RNAcentral lists this transfer RNA (66 nucleotides) under Dendrogale murina (Northern smooth-tailed tree shrew). RNAcentral describes it as "tRNA-Arg". It matches the Rfam family "tRNA". From Rfam's summary of the family: Transfer RNA (tRNA) molecules are approximately 80 nucleotides in length. The record is from RNAcentral. Lineage: Eukaryota; Metazoa; Chordata; Mammalia; Scandentia; Tupaiidae.
UAGUGAUUAGUUUAAUCAAAACAAAUGAUUUCGACUCAUUAGAUUAUGUUUACUCAUAAUCACUAU